RNAcentral lists this ribosomal RNA (864 nucleotides) under Aspergillus fumigatus. Its description in RNAcentral is "SSU rRNA". It matches the Rfam family "Eukaryotic small subunit ribosomal RNA", at positions 585 to 1466 of the family's 1831-position model. The record is from RNAcentral. Lineage: Eukaryota; Fungi; Ascomycota; Eurotiomycetes; Eurotiales; Aspergillaceae.
CCAGCUCCAAUAGCGUAUAUUAAAGUUGUUGCAGUUAAAAAGCUCGUAGUUGAACCUUGGGUCUGGCUGGCCGGUCCGCCUCACCGCGAGUACUGGUCCGGCUGGACCUUUCCUUCUGGGGAACCUCAUGGCCUUCACUGGCUGUGGGGGGAACCAGGACUUUUACUGUGAAAAAAUUAGAGUGUUCAAAGCAGGCCUUUGCUCGAAUACAUUAGCAUGGAAUAAUAGAAUAGGACGUGCGGUUCUAUUUUGUUGGUUUCUAGGACCGCCGUAAUGAUUAAUAGGGAUAGUCGGGGGCGUCAGUAUUCAGCUGUCAGAGGUGAAAUUCUUGGAUUUGCUGAAGACUAACUACUGCGAAAGCAUUCGCCAAGGAUGUUUUCAUUAAUCAGGGAACGAAAGUUAGGGGAUCGAAGACGAUCAGAUACCGUCGUAGUCUUAACCAUAAACUAUGCCGACUAGGGGAUCGGGCGGGUGUUUUCUAUGAUGACCCCGCUCGGGCACCUUUACGAGAAAAUCAAAAGUUUUUUGGGUUUCUGGGGGGGAGUAUGGUCGCAAGGGCUGAAACUUUAAAGAAAUUGACGGAAGGGCACCACAAGGCGUGGAGCCUGCGGCUUAAUUUGACUCAACACGGGGAAACUCACCAGGUCCAGACAAAAUAAGGAUUGACAGAUUGAGAGCUCUUUCUUGAUCUUUUGGAUGGUGGUGCAUGGCCGUUCUUAGUUGGUGGAGUGAUUUGUCUGCUUAAUUGCGAUAACGAACGAGACCUCGGCCCUUAAAUAGCCCGGUCCGCAUUUGCGGGCCGCUGGCUUCUUAGGGGACUAUCGGCUCAAGCCGAUGGAAGUGCGCGGCAAUAACAGUUGUGUG